RNAcentral lists this ribosomal RNA (344 nucleotides) under uncultured bacterium. RNAcentral describes it as "bacterial SSU rRNA". It matches the Rfam family "Bacterial small subunit ribosomal RNA", at positions 8 to 352 of the family's 1533-position model. The record is from RNAcentral.
AGAGUUUGAUCCUGGCUCAGGAUAAACGUUGGCGGUGCGCUUUAUGCAUGCAAGUCGAACGGGGUUAUGGUUUUCGGACUGUAACCUAGUGGCGAACGGUUGAGUAACACGUAAAUAACCUACCUCUGAGUGGGGGAUAACCUGUCGAAAGGCAGACUAAUACCGCGUGUGGUAAUCAGGGAUUGCCUGGUUAUUAAAGCCUUAGGGCGCUCGGAGAGGGGUUUGCGUCUGAUUAGCUAGUUGGUAGGGUAAUGGCCUACCAAGGCGACGAUCAGUAGCUGGUCUGAGAGGAUGUCCAGCCAGAUGAGGACUGAGACACGGCCCCAACUCCUACGGGAGGCAGC